RNAcentral lists this ribosomal RNA (1343 nucleotides) under uncultured bacterium. RNAcentral's name for it is "16S ribosomal RNA". It matches the Rfam family "Bacterial small subunit ribosomal RNA", at positions 28 to 1378 of the family's 1533-position model. The record is from RNAcentral.
GACGAACGCUGGCGGCGUGCUUAACACAUGCAAGUCGAACGGAAAGGCCCUGCUUUUGUGGGGUGCUCGAGUGGCGAACGGGUGAGUAACACGUGAGUAACCUGCCCUUGACUUUGGGAUAACUUCAGGAAACUGGGGCUAAUACCGGAUAGGAGCUCCUGCUGCAUGGUGGGGGUUGGAAAGUUUCGGCGGUUGGGGAUGGACUCGCGGCUUAUCAGCUUGUUGGUGGGGUAGUGGCUUACCAAGGCUUUGACGGGUAGCCGGCCUGAGAGGGUGACCGGCCACAUUGGGACUGAGAUACGGCCCAGACUCCUACGGGAGGCAGCAGUGGGGAAUAUUGCACAAUGGGCGGAAGCCUGAUGCAGCAACGCCGCGUGCGGGAUGACGGCCUUCGGGUUGUAAACCGCUUUCGCCUGUGACGAAGCGUGAGUGACGGUAAUGGGUAAAGAAGCACCGGCUAACUACGUGCCAGCAGCCGCGGUGAUACGUAGGGUGCGAGCGUUGUCCGGAUUUAUUGGGCGUAAAGGGCUCGUAGGUGGUUGAUCGCGUCGGAAGUGUAAUCUUGGGGCUUAACCCUGAGCGUGCUUUCGAUACGGGUUGACUUGAGGAAGGUAGGGGAGAAUGGAAUUCCUGGUGGAGCGGUGGAAUGCGCAGAUAUCAGGAGGAACACCAGUGGCGAAGGCGGUUCUCUGGGCCUUUCCUGACGCUGAGGAGCGAAAGCGUGGGGAGCGAACAGGCUUAGAUACCAUGGUAGUCCACGCUGUAAACGGUGGGUACUAGGUGUGGGGUCCAUUCCACGGGUUCCGUGCCGUGGCUAACGCUUUAAGUACCCCGCCUGGGGAGUACGGCCGCAAGGCUAAAACUCAAAGGAAUUGACGGGGCCCCGCACAAGCGGCGGAGCAUGCGGAUUAAUUCGAUGCAACGCGUAGAACCUUACCUGGGUUUGACAUGGAUCGGGAGUGCUCAGAGAUGGGUGUGCCUCUUUUGGGGUCGGUUCACAGGUGGUGCAUGGCUGUCGUCAGCUCGUGUCGUGAGAUGUUGGGUUAAGUCCCGCAACGAGCGCAACCCUUGUUCACUGUUGCCAGCACGUUAUGGUGGGGACUCAGUGGAGACCGCCGGGGUCAACUCGGAGGAAGGUGGGGAUGACGUCAAGUCAUCAUGCCCCUUAUGUCCAGGGCUUCACGCAUGCUACAAUGGCUGGUACAGAGAGUGGCGAGCCUGUGAGGGUGAGCGAAUCUCGGAAAGUCGGUCUCAGUUCGGAUUGGGGUCUGCAACUCGACCUCAUGAAGUCGGAGUCGCUAGUAAUCGCAGAUCAGCAACGCUGCGGUGAAUACGUUCCCGGG